AUGCAGUCAUGAAUUUACUCGUUAGAGUUGUAUAUUACCAUUGCAAAAUUUUACCGCUUCUCAUUCUUUCUGGAUCGCCUUAUAAGCUGUAACAUUAUUUUUAAAAAAUAUAAAAAAGCUCUAUCAACAGAAUAUUAUUUUAAAAAGGAAAGGAGAGAUGGAAAUAAAUAGAAAGAUUUUUCUAUUAAUAAUGCUAAUGCUGGCUGCCUCUUGGGGUCUUAGUAUUCCAAUUCAAAGUGAAAGACAAGAAGAUGCAGGAAGACUUAAUGACAGAAUUGAUAUUCAAGGAGGAAGGAUUGGUGGAUUUCUUUUUGUAAAUGGACCUCGGCGCCGAAAUCGAAGGCCACCGCAGGCUCUUUUAAGGGAUCGAAAUGUUUGAAAAGAAAUUUUCGAACUUUUAAAUCGACUUCACCUUAAAACUAUCAUUUGAAUGGAUUGAUUUUUGCAAAAAAUACUCUAAUAUGACUGUUAUUUUCUUGGAGAGAGAGAGAGAGAGAGAGAGAGAGAGAGAGAGCAUAUACGAGUAGUAAAUUUACUUAUCUUGUCCUUGGUUAUUUGCAAAAUUUUCUUGUUUAAAUAUUUUCUAAUUGCAUGUUCACAAAGGUACUCCAUUAUGAUAAAAGUUAAUAGAUGCUU
This is a long non-coding RNA of Saccostrea cuccullata (small rock oyster), 636 nucleotides long. RefSeq lists it as uncharacterized. The record is from RefSeq and is a predicted model, not a curated record. NCBI's taxonomy places the organism in Eukaryota, Metazoa, Mollusca, Bivalvia, Ostreida, Ostreidae. The transcript has 2 exons.